RNAcentral lists this ribosomal RNA (1321 nucleotides) under uncultured Microgenomates group bacterium. Its description in RNAcentral is "bacterial SSU rRNA". It matches the Rfam family "Bacterial small subunit ribosomal RNA". The record is from RNAcentral.
AGAGUUUGAUUAUGGCUCAGAUUGAACGCUGGCGGCAGGCCUAACACAUGCAAGUCGAGCGGAUGAAGAGAUGAUUCAGCGGCGGACGGGUGAGUAAUGCCUAGGAAUCUGCCUGAUAGUGGGGGACAAUGUUUCGAAAGGAACGCUAAUACCGCAUACGUCCUACGGGAGAAAGGCCUUGCGCUAUCAGAUGAGCCUAGGUCGGAUUAGCUAGUUGGUGAGGUAAUGGCUCACCAAGGCAAUGACGGGUAGGCGGAGUGAGAGCUUGACCGCCAACAAUGGCACUGAGACACGGGCCAUACUCCUACGGGAGGCAGCAGUCGAGAAUAUUUGACAAUGGGCGAAAGCCUGAUCAAGCGACGUCGCGUGUGGGAUUAAGAUCUUCGGAUUGUAAACCACUUUUCUAGGGGAAGAACUUUGACUGUACCCUAGAAUAAGGGGUGACUAAACUCGUGCCAGCAGUAGCGGUAAUACGAGUGCCCCAAGCGUUAUCCGGAUUUAUUGGGCGUAAAGGGUCUGUAGGUGGUUUGUUAAGUUUCUCGUUAAACUCCAGGGCUUAACCUUGGAAAGCGGGAAAAACUGGCAAACUAGAGGAUGUUAGAGGCUGAUGGAACACUUGGUGAAGGGGUGGAAUCCGUUGAUAUCAAGUGGAACACCGAAAGCGAAAGCAAUCAGCUGGGACAGUCCUGACACUGAAAGACGAAAGCGUGGGGAGAAAAAGGAUUAGAUACCCUUGUAUUCCACGCCUUAAACGAUGAAUACUAGCUAUUGCAAGGUCGACCUUGCAGUGGCGAAGCUAACGCGUUAAGUAUUCCGCCUGGGAAGUACGGCCGCAAGGCUAAAACUCAAAGGAAUAGACGGGGACUACACAAGCGGUGGAUCACGUGGCUUAAUUCGAUAAUAAGCGAGGAACCUUACCAGGGCUUGAAAGGUUAAGAAGCAUUUCGAAAGAUUUGCCUACCAGACAUUAACCCAGGUGCUGCAUGGUUGUCGUCAGCAGGUGGCUUGAGUUGCUCCCUUAAAUGGGGUAACCUGCGCAACCCUUGCUCUAUGUUUCAUGUGUCAUAGAGGACUGCCUGGGACAACCAGGAGGAAGGUGAGGAUGACGCCAAAUCAGCAUGGCCCUUAUGUCCUGGGCUGCACACGUGAUACAAUGGGAUUGACAACGGGAAGCGAAAGAGUAAUCUGGAGCAAAUCCUAUCAAACAAUUCCCAACUCGGAUUGAGGUCUGAAACUCGACCUCAUGAAGUCGGAAUCGCUAGUAACCGCAGAUCAGCAUGCUGCGGUGAAUAUGUCCCUGGGUCUUGUACUCACCCCCGUC